CCAGACUCCUACGGGAGGCAGCAGUGGGGGAUAUUGCACAAUGGGGGGAACCCUGAUGCAGCGACGCCGCGUGGGUGAAGAAGCGCCUCGGCGCGUAAAGCCCUGUCAGCAGGGAAGAAAAUGACGGUACCUGAAGAAGAAGCCCCGGCUGACUACGUGCCAGCAGCCGCGGUAAUACGUAGGGGGCAAGCGUUAUCCGGAUUUACUGGGUGUAAAGGGAGCGUAGGUGGCAUGGUAAGCCAGAAGUGAAAACCCGGGGCUCAACCCCGCGGAUUGCUUUUGGAACUAUCAGGCUGGAGUGCUGGAGGGGUAAGCGGAAUUCCUAGUGUAGCGGUGAAAUGCGUAGAUAUUAGGAGGAACACCGGUGGCGAAGGCGGCUUACUGGACAGAAACUGACACUGAGGCUCGAAAGCGUGGGGAGCAAACAGGAUUAGAUACCCGGGUACA
This 447-nucleotide ribosomal RNA is filed under the name uncultured bacterium. Its description in RNAcentral is "bacterial SSU rRNA". It matches the Rfam family "Bacterial small subunit ribosomal RNA", at positions 331 to 794 of the family's 1533-position model. The record is from RNAcentral.